GUGGGUGUAGCUCACUGGUAGAGUGCAUGCUUGGCAUGCAUGAGGUCCUGGGUUCAAUCCCCAGUACCUCCA
Molecule: transfer RNA, 72 nt
Filed under: Camelus bactrianus (Bactrian camel)
Lineage: Eukaryota; Metazoa; Chordata; Mammalia; Artiodactyla; Camelidae
Also listed under: 2 other names
Rfam family: tRNA
About the family: Transfer RNA (tRNA) molecules are approximately 80 nucleotides in length. Their secondary structure includes four short double-helical elements and three loops (D, anti-codon, and T loops).
Source: Rfam by way of RNAcentral